AUUGAACGCUGGCGGCAGGCUUAACACAUGCAAGUCGAGCGGGGUGAUGGUGCUUGCACUAUCACUUAGCGGCGGACGGGUGAGUAAUGCUUAGGAAUCUGCCUAUUAGUGGGGGACAACAUCUCGAAAGGGAUGCUAAUACCGCAUACGUCCUACGGGAGAAAGCAGGGGAUCACUUGUGACCUUGCGCUAAUAGAUGAGCCUAAGUCGGAUUAGCUAGUUGGUGGGGUAAAGGCCUACCAAGGCGACGAUCUGUAGCGGGUCUGAGAGGAUGGUCCGCCACACUGGGACGGAGACACGGCCCAGGAUCCUACGGGAGGCAGCAGUGGGGAAUAUUGGACAAUGGGGGGAACCCUGAUCCAGCCAUGCCGCGUGUGUGAAGAAGGCCUUAUGGUCGUAAAGCACUUUGAGCGAGGAGGAGGCUCUUCUGGUUAAUACCCAAGAUGAGUGGACGUUACUUGCAGAAUAAGCACCGGCUAACUCUGUGCCAGCCGCCGCUGUAA
This 503-nucleotide ribosomal RNA is filed under the name uncultured bacterium. RNAcentral's name for it is "partial 16S ribosomal RNA". It matches the Rfam family "Bacterial small subunit ribosomal RNA", at positions 30 to 523 of the family's 1533-position model. The record is from RNAcentral.